CGCAGCCGCGGUAAUUCCAGCUCCAAUAGCGUAUAUUAAAGUUGUUGCAGUUAAAAAGCUCGUAGUUGAAUUUCGGGAUCAAUAUGUUGGUCGUGCCUUGGUACGUACUGGCAUUAUCGAUUCCUACCUUCUGAAGAACCUCGAUGUCAUUAAUUUGGUGUCUUGGGGAAUCAGGACUGUUACUUUGAAAAAUUAGAGUGUUUAAAGCAGGCUCGCGCUUGAAUACAUUAGCAUGGAAUAAUGAAAUAGGACGUUUGAUUCUAUUUUGUUGGUUUCUAGGAUCGACGUAAUGAUUAAUAGGGAUAGUUGGGGGCAUUAGUAUUCAAUUGUCAGAGGUGAAAUUCUUGGAUUUAUUGAAGACUAACUACUGCGAAAGCAUUUGCCAAGGAUGUUUUCAUUAAUCAAGAACGAAAGUUAGGGGAUCGAAGACGAUCAGAUACCGUCGUAGUCUUAACCAUAAACUAUGCCGACUAGGGAUCGGAUGAUGUUAAUUUUUUAAUGUACUCAUUCGGCGCCUUAA
RNAcentral lists this ribosomal RNA (520 nucleotides) under uncultured Glomus. RNAcentral's name for it is "SSU rRNA". It matches the Rfam family "Eukaryotic small subunit ribosomal RNA", at positions 569 to 1091 of the family's 1831-position model. Lineage: Eukaryota; Fungi; Glomeromycota; Glomeromycetes; Glomerales; Glomeraceae. The record is from RNAcentral.